RNAcentral lists this long non-coding RNA (1784 nucleotides) under Homo sapiens (human). RNAcentral describes it as "HSALNT0359010". Lineage: Eukaryota; Metazoa; Chordata; Mammalia; Primates; Hominidae. The record is from RNAcentral.
GCUCCAUGAGGGAAGGAUCUGUUGUAUCUUACUGCCUUGGACCCUGUGUUAGAAUACAGCGAGUAUAGAUGAAUGAAACCCAAGGAGAGGCAUCUGAAAAUGUGAAGUCGAUGUUAAAUCUUACAGAAAACUCAAGGAGAGGACUUAGAAAAAGGUAGUUAAAUGUGUUGAUUAGGUUAUAGUUCCUUGUGAAGGUGAAAUCCAGAUAACAAGGGGUUAAGAAAUGAGUGGCUAGCCACCAACCAGGCAAAGGCAGGAAAAGCAGACUACACUUGGCAAUCUCUAGAGAUGGAUUGUGAAUGACUAAAUUUUAAUUUCAAUGUUGCGCUAGUUCGCAAUUAACAACCAUGUGUUACUUUUAUUACGAACAAGCUUUUUAAAAUGUUAAUAAGAUUUGAAAAGGAAAAGCAGCAACAAGACAGCUUGAAGGAGUAGCAGACUUAAGAAAAGGUUUUUGUAAACUGAAAAAAUCUUAAGAACAUUUGUACUUUAAAGAACCCAAAUACGACAGAGAAAAUAACUCACGCUCCACUAAGCAGGAAAAUUAGAAGGAAAGGAAAAAAACCCCAAGGUGUUAACUAAUAAGAAAGACAAAAAAAAAAAAAAAAAUUCUCCCUCUUUGACGGAAGGUUAAGAAGCCAGUAACAGAAGGAAUUUAAUGAAGGAGCUCCUGCUAAGUGCCUCAACCUCUUCUGUAAAGGGUGGGGAGAAGUGAAGAAAGUAGAAAAAGUUUAAAGUGGGCUCCACGGAAAAUGGAGGAAAAAUUAAACAAGAACUGAGUCUGGUUCUACUAAAAACGCAUUCUACAUUUCAAUCGGCCUUUCAUACACUCACCCCAUUCCUAGAUCAGAGAAUUGCCCAUAUUUUAGCUUCAAAUUUAAAAAUCUAAAUAAUUCUGGUUCACAUUCUUUAUUUCAACAACUGAAAACAAUGAGACGCAUUAAGUUACACUCUAAUUCAAAGUUUAACUCCUCUCACAAGUAAAUACAAUAAAGUAGUUGUUUUCAACUCCAGCAACAAAAUAGCGAUAAUUUCAAGUAAGAGUAACUGAAAAAUGUUCCUAAACGUAAAAGUGUUUGCAAACAGUUUUGGUUUUUUUUCUUCCUAAUUCGUUUGCCAGAAUACGAUGUUCCUGGGUUCAAAUCCCAGCUCCCUUAGACAAGUUAGUUAACCUCUUUGCGACUCGGUUUCUUCCCCUAAAACAAUGAGGAAUACAAUAAACCAGAAUCGUUGUAAGGAUUAAAUGACGUAACACAGGUGCCAAGUUCAUACUAUGUACUCUGAACAGUUUGUUAACCGCUUAAAAGAGAAAACCUGCAGGAGUUUGACCAAAUUAAAACAUCUGAGAGCAUGAAAGAGUACCACGCUCAAACGCCAGACCCUAACACACAGCAUAUUAUUUUUCUUCCCUGACGCAAGCUCAUUUUUUUUUCCUUGCCAAAUCUUUCCACUAGGAGUCUGGAAAGAGAAAAAAGGGUCCAGGCAAUCCAGCAGAAAGUUUUCCAAAACUGAAGUACGGAAUCACCAGGCCACGGAGCGGAGGCCGCGCAGGACAACAGCGUCCGGAGCCAAAUCACAAAUAUCAGCCUCGCCGCUCCGGGGCGGGGAGGUGAGCGCCUUUCCCAUUUAAGGAUUCCAGAAGCGUCCCCGGAGCGACUUUCGCCCACUCCGCAUCCCCAAACUCGGCCUGCAACCCGCGAGUGGGAGACAAAAGAGGGGCCGGCGGGGGACGCGGCGCGGGGUGCCGUGGGUCUCUGGCUGGGCGGUCCCGGCCCAGCGCGCGC